Molecule: ribosomal RNA, 623 nt
Filed under: uncultured bacterium
Lineage: Bacteria
Description: bacterial SSU rRNA
Rfam family: Bacterial small subunit ribosomal RNA
Source: RNAcentral
AAAAACUGAGGUGGUGUAAGAUGGACCCGCGUCUGAUUAGCUAGUUGGUGAGGUAACGGCCCACCAAGGCGACGAUCAGUAGCCGGCCUGAGAGGGUGGACGGCCACAUUGGGACUGAGACACGGCCCAAACUCCUACGGGAGGCAGCAGUGGGGGAUAUUGGACAAUGGGGGGAACCCUGAUCCAGCGACGCCGCGUGAGUGAAGAAGUAUCUCGGUAUGUAAAGCUCUAUCAGCAGGGAAGAAGAAAUGACGGUACCUGAGUAAGAAGCCCCGGCUAACUACGUGCCAGCAGCCGCGGUAAUACGUAGGGGGCAAGCGUUAUCCGGAAUUACUGGGUGUAAAGGGAGCGUAGACGGUGAUGUAAGUCUGGAGUGAAAGGCGGGGGCCCAACCCCCGGACUGCUCUGGAAACUAUGUGACUGGAGUGCAGGAGAGGUGAGCGGAAUUCCUAGUGUAGCGGUGAAAUGCGUAGAUAUUAGGAGGAACACCAGUGGCGAAGGCGGCUCACUGGACUGUAACUGACGUUGAGGCUCGAAAGCGUGGGGAGCAAACAGGAUUAGAUACCCUGGUAGUCCACGCCGUAAACGAUGAUCACUGGGUGUGGGUGGGUAUGGACCCAUCG